ACAGAGGGUGCGAGCGUUGUUCGGAAUUAUUGGGCGUAAGGGCGCGUAGGCGGUGCCACAAGUCACUUGUGAAAUCCCCGGGCUCAACCUGGGAACUGCAUUCGAAACUGGCAGGCUAGAGUCUUGUAGAGGGGGGUAGAAUUCCAGGUGUAGCGGUGAAAUGCGUAGAGAUCUGGAGGAAUACCGGUGGCGAAGGCGGCCCCCUGGACAAAGACUGACGCUCAGGUGCGAAAGCGUGGGGAGCAAACAGGA
This 252-nucleotide ribosomal RNA is filed under the name uncultured prokaryote. RNAcentral's name for it is "partial 16S ribosomal RNA". It matches the Rfam family "Bacterial small subunit ribosomal RNA", at positions 525 to 777 of the family's 1533-position model. The record is from RNAcentral.